This 72-nucleotide transfer RNA is filed under the name Zebrias quagga (fringefin zebra sole). RNAcentral describes it as "tRNA-Val". It matches the Rfam family "tRNA". From Rfam's summary of the family: Transfer RNA (tRNA) molecules are approximately 80 nucleotides in length. Their secondary structure includes four short double-helical elements and three loops (D, anti-codon, and T loops). Lineage: Eukaryota; Metazoa; Chordata; Actinopteri; Pleuronectiformes; Soleidae. The record is from RNAcentral.
CAGAGCGUAGCUAAAAUAGAAUAGCAUCUCCCUUACACUGAGAAGUCAUUCGUGCAACCCGAAUUGCCCUGA